Molecule: long non-coding RNA, 101 nt
Organism: Dermochelys coriacea (leatherback sea turtle)
Lineage: Eukaryota; Metazoa; Chordata; Testudines; Dermochelyidae
Exons: 3
Source: RefSeq, a predicted model, not a curated record
CAUUGCGUUGGUCUCUGGGGUGUCGCAAGUACUCUUUUUCUUUUUGCGAAUACAGACUAACACGGCUGCUACUCUGAAACCCGCUCAUAAUGGCUCCACAG